RNAcentral lists this long non-coding RNA (2447 nucleotides) under Salmo salar (Atlantic salmon). RNAcentral's name for it is "lncRNA (ENSSSAG00000095605.1)". Lineage: Eukaryota; Metazoa; Chordata; Actinopteri; Salmoniformes; Salmonidae. The record is from RNAcentral.
CUCCACAUGUAACUGUUUCCUGUUCAGUCGGUAAGGCCCUCUGUUUUAAUUAUCAAGAACUAGGAGGAAUAAUUUGCCAUGUCUCCCAUGCUUCAGCAUCUCACUAAAGACCACUGGCAUCACCUUCUGUGUGUGUCUGGAAUAAGGGUUAGCGCCAGGCUAGCCUAGCUAGCGCUGAGCAAUGAGCAUUACCACUAAUGAAUUGAAUUGUAGGGGACAAUUGUGUGUGAAAAGCACUGAAUUGACAAAGACAGUCAGUCAAGGGGUUUCGCUAAGGAUGAAAUUAAAAUCUGUGCUGCGGCGGGCGAAUAAGGCUUAUGCAGCUUGCUGCUUUAGUGGGAAUGCAUUAAUACCGGAGGAGAGGAGAGAAGGAGCGUUUGCAUUUGCUUUGCAAUAGUGAAAUGUUGAUUUCCCCUGAGGUAUUUAAAGUGAUUUGACCCAGUCAUUCUUUUAAAUCACAGACAGGAGAUGAUAAAUGUCCUACUAAUGAGGCCUGUGUAUUUUAUCUCUCACUCUGUCUCACUCCUGCUAGGUACACUCCUCCUGCUAGGUACACUCCUCCUGUAGGGACACAGUCCUCCUGCUAGGUACACUCCUCCUGUAGGGACACAGUCCUCCUGCUAGGUACACUCCUCCUGCUAUGUACACUCCUCCUGCUAAGUACACUCCUCCUGUAGGGACACAGUCCUCCUGCUAGGUACAGUCCUCCUGCUAGGUACACUCCUCCUGUAGGGACACAGUCCUCCUGCUAGGUACAGUCCUCCUGCUAGGUACACUCCUCCUGUAGGGUACACUCCUCCUGUAGGGUACACUCCUCCUGUAGGGUACACUCCUGCUGCUAGGUACACUCUUCCUGCUAGGUACACUCCUCCUGUCAGGUACACAAUCCUCCUGUAGGGUACAGUCCUCCUGUAGGGUACACUCCUCCUGCUAGGUACACUCCUCCUGCUAGGUACACCCCUCCUGUCGGGUACACUCCUCCUGCUAGAUACAGUACCUUCCUCCUGUAGGGUACAUUCCUCCUGUAGGGUACCCUCCUCCUGCUAGAUACAGUACCCUCCUCCUGUAGGGUACAUUCCUCCUGUAGGGUGGUUCUUUCUCUGAAGCUCCUGCUAUGCUGCCUUCAGGUCUUCACAGGCUUCUAAAAAGGUACUGUUAGUCAGGGCUAAAUCCUUGCCGUGCUUUUCAGAGAUCUGGGGGAAAAAAAGCACAUAAUGUAUCCCUUUACAUGCUGGGAGAGAUUGCUCAGAAAAUUAAAAUCAAACACGCAAUCUCAUUGUUCUGCAAAUGCAGCCUUUAAAAGAGCUCCACUAAUCUAAAAAAUUGUCUUCAGAAUUUCAACUGUGUCAGCAUUUGUAGACAUUAUAAUAAUCUUCCUAUAUAUCCAAGGACUGUUUUCUCUUCACCCCCCCCUCUCUCUCUCCCUUGCUCUCUUUCUCUUUCUCUCUCCUCUCCUCUCCUCUCCAUUCAAAAGGUAAGCACUAAGCACUUUGCCUAUACACAUGACAAAGACCAGUUAACAGCAGAGCUCUCAUUAUCAGGAGCAUGGAGAAGUGUGGCUGUGUGUCGCUGUGGAGAAUAAGAAUAUUUUCAGGUGCAGAUGUAGAGCAUCAUUGAUAGGGGGUUCCCCCGCCUUCCUCGUUUACACCAGAGCUCUGAUCAAUCUGUGCUGACAGGGCAGGGGCUUUGUGUGCCACGCGGCAGGGACAAAUGUCUGCCAGGGAGCGGGGACACACCUGAAAGAGAAGAGGAGAAGAGGAGACGAGGAGAAGAGGAGAGGAGUGCCACCCAGCUCUACACACUAGGAUUAGCCCCAUCCUCUGCCUUGAUGGAUUAGCGUGUAGGGAAAUUGCCCGAUUAUUGAGAGGGGUACAAAAGACAGACGAGGGCACGGAGAGGAGACAGAGGGAGCCUGGGCCCUCUACAGAGCAGACACAUUGAGUUGCCCUUCAUGAAAUAUUGUUCAUCAUCAUAUUAACAGGGCUGAAUGUGGGGAGAUAAGGAGUGUUUGAGAAGCAGAAUGUCCCAGCGAGAUAUUUCAAUCCUCCUUAUUCAUUCAUUUAGGUGAGUGAAUGUGAAAUGUAGCAGGACCUUUAUAGACGGAGAGACAGGAGCCCAGAAAUGAUGACAUAAUCACCUCCCAUUUAAUUGCUUGAUUAGUCAAUCUUAUGUCUCUUUCACUCUCUCUCUCUCUCUCUCUCUCUCUCUCUCUCUCUCUCUCUCUCUCCCUCUCACUCUCUUUCACUCUCUCUCUCUCACUCUCUCUCUUUCUCUCUCUCGCUCUCUAUCUCUCUCUAUCACCCUCUCUGUCUCUCUCUCUCUUGGAUCCCAGUGUCUGUCAACUGUCUCCUCCCCACAAAGCUUCCAUGUUCUGUCAGACAGAUUACCCAUUAUGACAGAGGGGGCUGUAGCAUUUGCAUGGUUUUGAAUUAUGUUGAUUUUAUGCG